UAGGGAAUCUUCGGCAAUGGACGCAAGACUGACCGAGCAACGCCGCGCGAGUGAAGAAGGUUUUCGGAUCGUAAAACUCUGUUGUUAGAGAAGAACAAGGACGUUAGUAACUGAACUUACCCUGACGGUAUCUAACCAGAAAGCCACGGCUAACUACGUGCCAGCAGCCGCGGUAAUACGUAGGUGGCAAGCGUUGUCCGGAUUUAUUGGGCGUAAAGCGAGCGCAGGCGGUUUCUUAAGUCUGGUGUGAAAGCCCCCGGCUCAACCGGGGAGGGUCAUUGGAAACUGGGAGACUUGAGUGCAGAAGAGGAGAGUGGAAUUCCAUGUGUAGCGGUGAAAUGCGUAGAUAUAUGGAAGAACACCAGUGGCGAAGGCGGCUCUCUGGUCUGUAACUGACGCUGAGGCUUGAAAGCGUGGGGAGCAAACAGG
Molecule: ribosomal RNA, 429 nt
Filed under: Gemmatimonadota bacterium
Lineage: Bacteria; Pseudomonadati; Gemmatimonadota
Description: Gemmatimonadetes bacterium partial 16S ribosomal RNA
Rfam family: Bacterial small subunit ribosomal RNA
Source: RNAcentral